CUCGGCGGCACUAGCGCGGUGGUCCCACCUGACCCCAUGCCGAACUCAGAAGUGAAACGCCGUAGCGCCGAUGGUAGUGUGGGGUCUCCCCAUGCGAGAGUAGGGAACUGCCGGCA
Molecule: ribosomal RNA, 116 nt
Filed under: Salmonella enterica subsp. enterica serovar Worthington
Lineage: Bacteria; Pseudomonadati; Pseudomonadota; Gammaproteobacteria; Enterobacterales; Enterobacteriaceae
Source: RNAcentral